Molecule: unclassified non-coding RNA, 284 nt
Filed under: Hevea brasiliensis (rubber tree)
Lineage: Eukaryota; Viridiplantae; Streptophyta; Magnoliopsida; Malpighiales; Euphorbiaceae
Source: RNAcentral
GAAGGGAAGUGCAUACUUGCAUGUAUUAUUGGAUCUUCAGUCCAAUUAGUAGGACUGUUUUGGUUGAUAGAUGCCCGGAUGUAACAUUGUUUCCUGUUGGUUGUUCUUUGGUGUACUGCUGAAAGUGGCCUAAGUGGUUCAUUUCAGAUAUGAAACUGGUUGAAUUUUUUGCUUGAACCAGCCGUAGGAUUUUUCUUCUUUUAGGUCCUCUCUCUCUAUCUUUUUUUUUUUUUCCGGUGACUAGUGGUAAGAUCUUUUUAGAUCAAUGAAAUUCUAUGUUCUUU